UUCUGGUACACUAUCGUACCCGACUAGUAUCGGAAUGGAUAUCGAGAGUGAGUCGGUGAAUUUGGCCGAAAGCUUACAUCAACCACUGAACUACUACAGUAAUCGCAAAUCCAGAAUACAAAAUACGGCGCAAACAUCAAGUGCGUACACUGCGAUUUCAACACUCAGCAUUUAAUACAAUUUCAACCCUACAACCAUGACCACAUCACCCGAAUAUCGUCGUAAGCUGUUUGCUGUUUGAAGCAAUAAAAUGCUAUUGAACAUCAAAAUCCUGUUGAGCAGCUAACAGAAAUUAAGAGAAUCGAGCAAAAUGGUUUAGGAACGACGGCAACGCAACCAAUACAUCUUUAAAAAUACAUCUUUGCAAAACAAAAUUACCACUACUAUUCGAAACGUGCGAACAUGCUUCGAUUCAUACGAAAAAUCACCAACCUUAUUAUUUUCGAGACACGAAAACGUUAAAAAGCAAGUCUCGGUACAGGAGCAGACUAAGAUGGUCUCUGCGAAUUCUACCAUGCAGAAAAACGGCGGGCGAGAAUGGCGCGAAGAACUUAUUGCCCCACACGGCGCUUCCGGACCGACUAUCACGAUUAGCUUUAGUAUCUCGGAUGGAGAUAUGGAAAACAUCCACACAGAUGUCCUCUUAAUCUAGGUCAUCCCCAGCCAGGAUAAUGCCACUUGCAGUAUCACGUACAGCAUUACGUUGGCUGAUCAAGGGCAGCAGAGACAUACGUACGUUUAGCAGCAGUAUCAGAAUCGGAUUAAGCAGCAAUAGACUGCGGUCAGUCCUGACAUGUCGGCGCUCGGCCACGGCGGAGAGUCACCGUGCACAAUAGUUGGCAAAUGAGCCUAAAUCAAUCCAAAUCAUAAAAAUUACUGAAACGAAAACCUUGAAAAGUGAG
This is a long non-coding RNA of Topomyia yanbarensis, 902 nucleotides long. RefSeq lists it as uncharacterized. The transcript has 4 exons. The record is from RefSeq and is a predicted model, not a curated record. NCBI's taxonomy places the organism in Eukaryota, Metazoa, Arthropoda, Insecta, Diptera, Culicidae.